RNAcentral lists this ribosomal RNA (254 nucleotides) under uncultured bacterium. Its description in RNAcentral is "partial 16S ribosomal RNA". It matches the Rfam family "Bacterial small subunit ribosomal RNA", at positions 524 to 776 of the family's 1533-position model. The record is from RNAcentral.
UACGAGGGGGGCAAGCGUUAUUCGGAUUUAUUGGGCGUAAAGCGUGCGUAGGCGGCUGUUUAAGUCUGGUGUUAAAGCUAGGGGCUCAACCCCUGUGGUGCAUCGGAUACUGGGCAGCUUGAGUGCGGUAGGGGAAGGUGGAAUUCCGAGUGUAGCGGUGAAAUGCGUAGAUAGUCGGGAAGAAUACCGGUGGCGAAGGCGGCUCCCUGGACCUAUACUGACGCUGAGGCGCGAAAGCGUGGGGAGCAAACAGG